AGAGUUUGAUCCUGGCUCAGAACGAACGCUGGCGGCGUGCUUAACACAUGCAAGUCGAGUGCGCGGUUGUAGCAAUACAACUGGCGCACGGCGCACGGGUGCGUAACACGUGGGCAAUCUGCCCUCCGAUGGGGAAUAACCCCGCGAAAGCGGGGCUAAUACCGCAUAACAUUCCGGGGACUUCGGUUCCUGGACUCAAAGGCGUAAGUCGUCGGAGGUGGAGCCCGCGCCCGAUUAGCUAGUUGGUGAGGUAAUGGCUCACCAAGGCAAUGAUCGGUAGCUGGUCUGAGAGGAUGGCCAGCCACACUGGAACUGAGACACGGUCCAGACUCCUACGGGAGGCAGCAGUGGGGAAUCUUGCGCAAUGGGCGAAAGCCUGACGCAGCGACGCCGCGUGGGGGAUGAAGCAUCUCGGUGUGUAAACCCCUUUCGACUGGGACGAAUGCCUCGCAAGAGGAGUGACGGUACCAGUAGAAGAAGCCCCGGCUAACUACGUGCCAGCAGCCGCGGUAAGACGUAGGGGGCCAGCGUUGUUCGGAAUUACUGGGUGUAAAGGGUUCGUAGGCGGUGUAGCAAGUCGGGAGUGAAAUCUCUGGGCUUAACCCAGAGGCUGCUUCCGAAACUGCUGUGCUGGAGUGUGGGAGAGGCGCGUGGAAUUGCAGGUGUAGCGGUGAAGUGCGUAGAUAUCUGCAGGAACACCCGUGGCGAAAGGCGGCGCGCUGGACCACUACUGACGCUGAGGAACGAAAGCUAGGGGAGCAAACAGGAUUAGAUACCCUGGUAGUCCUAGCCCUAAACGAUCAGGACUUGGGGUGCCACCCGUUCGGGUGUCGUCCCGGAGCUAACGCGUUAAGUCCUGCACCUGGGGAGUACGGUCGCAGACUGAAACUCAAGGAAUUGACGGGGGCCCGCACAAGCGGUGGAACAUGGUGGUUCAAUUCGACGCUACGCGAGGAACCUUACCUGGGCUCGAAAUGCU
RNAcentral lists this ribosomal RNA (979 nucleotides) under uncultured bacterium. RNAcentral describes it as "bacterial SSU rRNA". It matches the Rfam family "Bacterial small subunit ribosomal RNA", at positions 8 to 990 of the family's 1533-position model. The record is from RNAcentral.